AGAGUUUGAUCCUGGCUCAGAGCGAACGCUGGCGGCAGGCCUAACACAUGCAAGUCGAGCGGCCGUAGCAAUACGGCAGCGGCAGACGGGAGGGUAACACGUGGGAACGCGCCCUUCGGUUCGGAAUAACUCAGGGAAACUUGGGCUAAUACCGGAUACGCCCUUACGGGGAAAGAUUUAUUGCCGAAGGAACGGCCCGCGUCCGAUUAGCUUGUUGGUGAGGUAACGGCUCACCAAGGCGACGAUCGGUAGCUGGUCUGAGAGGAUGACCAGCCUCACUGGGACUGAGACACGGCCCAGACUCCUACGGGAGGCAGCAGUGGGGAAUAUUGGACAAUGGGCGCAAGCCUGAUCCAGCCAUGCCGCGUGGGUGAUGAAGGCCCUAGGGUUGUAAAGCCCUUUCAGCGGGGAAGAUAAUGACGGUACCCGCAGAAGAAGCCCCGGCUAACUUCGUGCCAGCCGCCGCGGUAAUAC
RNAcentral lists this ribosomal RNA (474 nucleotides) under uncultured bacterium. Its description in RNAcentral is "bacterial SSU rRNA". It matches the Rfam family "Bacterial small subunit ribosomal RNA", at positions 8 to 526 of the family's 1533-position model. The record is from RNAcentral.